Molecule: unclassified non-coding RNA, 265 nt
Filed under: fungal sp.
Lineage: Eukaryota; Fungi
Description: partial internal transcribed spacer region
Rfam family: Eukaryotic small subunit ribosomal RNA (bases 1-46)
Source: RNAcentral
AAGUCGUAACAAGGUUUCCGUAGGUGAACCUGCGGAAGGAUCAUUAUGGAGUUUCAUUUCACAAAUGAAUCAUCCCACCCUAUGUUUACCACUACUCUUAUUCUUUGGCGAGCCGUCUUUGGGUUUUCCCGAGCCACUGACAGUCAUGAAAUUGGCUGUGGGUGAGUUGCUCGCCAAAGGUUUUUAACACUUCACUAUUUUUACUGUGGUCUGAGUUUACAAACAAAAUAAAUCAAAACUUUCAACAACGGAUCUCUUGGUUCUG